Molecule: unclassified non-coding RNA, 352 nt
Filed under: soil metagenome
Description: partial contains 5.8S ribosomal RNA, internal transcribed spacer 2, and large subunit ribosomal RNA
Rfam family: 5.8S ribosomal RNA (bases 1-120)
Source: RNAcentral
GAUGAAGAACGUAGCGAAAUGCGAUAAGUAAUGUGAAUUGCAGAAUUCAGUGAAUCAUCGAAUCUUUGAACGCACAUUGCGCCCGCCAGUAUUCUGGCGGGCAUGCCUGUUCGAGCGUCAUUACAACCCUCAGGCCCCCGGGCCUGGCGUUGGGGAUCGGCGGAGCCCCCCGUGGGCACACGCCGUCCCCCAAGUGCAGUGGCGGUCCCGCCGCAGCUUCCAUCGCGUAGUAGCUAACACCUCGCGACUGGAGAGCGGCGCGGCCACGCCGUAAAACACCCAACUCUUCUGAAGUUGACCUCGAAUCAGGUAGGAAUACCCGCUGAACUUAAGCAUAUCAAUAAGCGGAGGA